RNAcentral lists this RNase P RNA (459 nucleotides) under Opitutaceae bacterium. Its description in RNAcentral is "RNase P RNA component class A". It matches the Rfam family "Bacterial RNase P class A". From Rfam's summary of the family: Ribonuclease P (RNase P) is a ubiquitous endoribonuclease, found in archaea, bacteria and eukarya as well as chloroplasts and mitochondria. Its best characterised activity is the generation of mature 5'-ends of tRNAs by cleaving the 5'-leader elements of precursor-tRNAs. Lineage: Bacteria; Pseudomonadati; Verrucomicrobiota; Opitutia; Opitutales; Opitutaceae. The record is from RNAcentral.
CGGGGCCAGAUCGUCGCUCCGGGGUUCUUUGUAUCCCAAGGCGCGGUUAAUCGCCGCGCCCGAUAAGAUUAAAACUCCCGGAGAGGAAAGUCCGGACACCAUCGGGCAGGAUGCCGUGCGAGCUUCACCGCAAGCAUGGGCGGCCGGCGUUAAGGCCGGUCGACGGAUAGUGUCACAGAGAAUAAACCGCCCCGGAUUUCGGUCCGGGGUAAGGGUGAAAAGGUGGGGUAAGAGCCCACCGCGUCCCGCGUGAGCGGGAUGGCAGGAUAAACCCCUUCCGGUGCAAGGCAAAAUAGGCGACUGGCCGGCCCGGCCUUAAGUCGCGGGUAUGUCGCACCCAGCCUUCGCUCCGCUUCGGCGGAGCUACGGCGAGGCAGGUCCCUCUCGGAGGAUCUGAGAUAAAUGACGAUCGAAGUGUCUCCGGACGCGGAACAAAAUCCGGCUUAUCGGCUCCGGAAC